ACUCCUACGGGAGGCAGCAGUAGGGAAUCUUCCACAAUGGACGAAAGUCUGAUGGAGCAACGCCGCGUGAGUGAAGAAGGGUUUCGGCUCGUAAAACUUUGUUGUUAAAGAAGAACAUAUCUGAGAGUAACUGUUCAGGUAUUGACGGUAUUUAACCAGAAAGCCACGGCUAACUACGUGCCAGCAGCCGCGGUAAUACGUAGGUGGCAAGCGUUGUCCGGAUUUAUUGGGGCGUAAAGCGAGCGCAGGCGGUUUUUAAGUCUGAUGUGAAAGCCUUCGGCUCAACCGAAGAAGUGCAUCGGAAACUGGGGAAACUUGAGUGCAGAAGAGGACAGUGGAACUCCAUGUGUAGCGGUGAAAUGCGUAGAUAUAUGGAAGAACACCAGUGGCGAAGGCGGCUGUCUGGUCUGUAACUGACGCUGAGGCUCGAAAGUAUGGGUAGCAAACAGGAUUAGAUACCCUGGUAGGAUAGCG
RNAcentral lists this ribosomal RNA (474 nucleotides) under uncultured bacterium. RNAcentral's name for it is "bacterial SSU rRNA". It matches the Rfam family "Bacterial small subunit ribosomal RNA", at positions 335 to 802 of the family's 1533-position model. The record is from RNAcentral.